This 484-nucleotide ribosomal RNA is filed under the name uncultured bacterium. Its description in RNAcentral is "partial 16S ribosomal RNA". It matches the Rfam family "Bacterial small subunit ribosomal RNA", at positions 30 to 507 of the family's 1533-position model. The record is from RNAcentral.
AUUGAACGCUGGCGGCAGGCCUAACACAUGCAAGUCGAGCGGAUGAAGGGAGCUUGCUCCUGGAUUCAGCGGCGGACGGGUGAGUGAUGCCUAGGAAUCUGCCUGGUAGUGGGGGAUAACGUCCGGAAACGGGCGCUAAUACCGCAUACGUCCUGAGGGAGAAAGUGGGGGAUCUUCGGACCUCACGCUAUCAGAUGAGCCUAGGUCGGAUUAGCUAGUUGGUGGGGUAAAGGCCUACCAAGGCGACGAUCCGUAACUGGUCUGAGAGGAUGAUCCGUCACACUGGAACUGAGACACGGUCCAGACUCCUACGGGAGGCAGCAGUGGGGAAUAUUGGGCAAUGGGCGAAAGCCUGAUCCAGCCAUGCCGCGUGUGUGAAGAAGGUCUUCGGAUUGUAAAGCACUUUAAGUUGGGAGGAAGGGCAGUAAGUUAAUACCUUGCUGUUUUGACGUUACCAACAGAAUAAGCACCGGCUAACUUCGUG